RNAcentral lists this ribosomal RNA (253 nucleotides) under uncultured bacterium. RNAcentral's name for it is "partial 16S ribosomal RNA". It matches the Rfam family "Bacterial small subunit ribosomal RNA", at positions 524 to 776 of the family's 1533-position model. The record is from RNAcentral.
UACGCAGGUGGCGAGCGUUGUCCGGAUUUACUGGGCGUAAAGAGCGCGCAGGCGGUCGUUCAAGUCGCGUGUGAAAGCCCCCGGCUCAACUGGGGAGGGUCACGCGAUACUGAUCGACUCGAAGGCAGGAGAGGGUAGUGGAAUUCCCGGUGUAGUGGUGAAAUGCGUAGAUAUCGGGAGGAACACCAGUGGCGAAGGCGACUACCUGGCCUGUUCUUGACGCUGAGGCGCGAAAGCUAGGGGAGCAAACGGG